RNAcentral lists this ribosomal RNA (504 nucleotides) under uncultured fungus. RNAcentral describes it as "SSU rRNA". It matches the Rfam family "Eukaryotic small subunit ribosomal RNA", at positions 248 to 755 of the family's 1831-position model. Lineage: Eukaryota; Fungi. The record is from RNAcentral.
GUUACACGAUAACUUUUCGAAUCGCAUGGCCUUGCGCCGGCGAUGGUUCAUUCAAAUUUCUUCCCUAUCAACUUUCGAUGUUUGGGUAUUGGCCAAACAUGGUCGCAACGGGUAACGGAGGGUUAGGGCUCGACCCCGGAGAAGGAGCCUGAGAAACGGCUACUACAUCCAAGGAAGGCAGCAGGCGCGCAAAUUACCCAAUCCCGAUUCGGGGAGGUAGUGACAAUAAAUACUGAUACAGGGCUCUUUUGGGUCUUGUAAUUGGAAUGAGUACAAUUUAAAUCCCUUAACGAGGAACAAUUGGAGGGCAAGUCUGGUGCCAGCAGCCGCGGUAAUUCCAGCUCCAAUAGCGUAUAUUAAAGUUGUUGUGGUUAAAAAGCUCGUAGUUGAACCUUGGGCCUGGCUGGCCGGUCCGCCUCACCGCGUGCACUGUGCCGGCCGGGCCUUUCCCUCUGUGGAACCUCAUGCCCUUCACUGGGUGUGGCGGGGAACCAGGACUUUUAC